Molecule: ribosomal RNA, 253 nt
Filed under: uncultured bacterium
Lineage: Bacteria
Description: partial 16S ribosomal RNA
Rfam family: Bacterial small subunit ribosomal RNA
Source: RNAcentral
UACGAAGGGGGCUAGCGUUGUUCGGAAUUACUGGGCGUAAAGCGCGCGUAGGCGGAUCGCUAAGUCAGGGGUGAAAUCCCAGGGCUCAACCCUGGAACUGCCUCUGAUACUGGCAAUCUGGAGAUCGGGAGAGGUUGGUGGAAUUCCGAGUGUAGAGGUGAAAUUCGUAGAUAUUGGGAGGAACACCAGUGGCGAAGGCGGUCCCCUGGGCCGGAACUGACGCUGAGGCGCGAAAGCCAGGGGAGCAAACGGG